This is a long non-coding RNA of Anolis carolinensis (green anole), 837 nucleotides long. RefSeq lists it as uncharacterized. NCBI's taxonomy places the organism in Eukaryota, Metazoa, Chordata, Lepidosauria, Squamata, Anolidae. The transcript is spliced from 3 exons. The record is from RefSeq and is a predicted model, not a curated record.
GGAGGGGAUUCGCCAUUGCUUAAGCAAUGCUUCCUCCAUAAGUAACCAGGUGGUGGAAAAUAGAAAGUGGCAUCUGGAACCCAUUAAAGUCAAUCAAGCUAAGAUCAAGUGAGCAACUCUGAAAAGAGGAUGAACCUGAGAGGAUAGCUACUAGCUUGGGAAGGAAAUGGCAUGGUAAUGAAGAAAAAGGAUUUUGGCAUGCAAGUGUUAUGAUUUCAAAUAAAAACUGAACUCUGGGGCACAAUCCUACAUGGACUGAAAACAGAAUUCUCAUCCAUUUUUCAACUCAAAAGAGCAGGCUACAAAUUCCCAAUAUGAGAUCUCCCCUGCCUGGCCUACAGUGUAAAAGAUGUAAUAGGAAAGGGACUCAGUAAGCAGAGGAAGACACAAUCAUGAGUUUCUUAUCAGAGAGUUCAGCAGAUGAUAUAGUCAGCUGGAUUUCAAUACAAAGGUAUGUACUAUUCUUUCCCUUUGGCAGCCAUGAGUGUUGAACUUGCUGGAGAGACAGGACCACUAAGCUGGAGCUGGAUCCUUGUACAACUGAAAUGUACUUGACUGUUGUUUUUCUCCCUCUGAUGUCUGCUGAUAUUCCUUUUCUCAGUGCUAUUAGUACUAGAUUUGUCUAAUUCCCCAAAAUUUAGUUCUUUUUGACUUUUUAUGGAAUGUUGAUAAUAAUCUACCUACCAGGAAUGUCAAUUCAAGAUGAAGACUUCCAGGUUGUUUUGGAGCUUUAUUUUUUAUUCUUUGGGUUUCAUAAUUACUAGAUAUUUUGUUUGUCUUACUCUGCCUUGAUCCUAUCUUGACUGAAUCUAUCUACUUAAUAUGCACACUUACACC